GGCAUGCAGGAUGGCUCAGUGGACCGGCAGGGGCGCUGGGGGGGCAGGGGACCACACGCAGACGGCUCGCCAUACCGGCAGAGGUACAGUGGGACAAGGGGCGGCACCCAGACAGCUCGCCAUACCGG
Molecule: long non-coding RNA, 128 nt
Organism: Leopardus geoffroyi (Geoffroy's cat)
Lineage: Eukaryota; Metazoa; Chordata; Mammalia; Carnivora; Felidae
Exons: 3
Source: RefSeq, a predicted model, not a curated record